GAGGGUAUAGCUCAGUGGCAGAGGGUGUGCUCAGCAUGCACAAGGUCCUGGCUUCAAUCCCCAGCACCCCCA
Molecule: transfer RNA, 72 nt
Filed under: Camelus bactrianus (Bactrian camel)
Lineage: Eukaryota; Metazoa; Chordata; Mammalia; Artiodactyla; Camelidae
Also listed under: 2 other names
Rfam family: tRNA
About the family: Transfer RNA (tRNA) molecules are approximately 80 nucleotides in length. Their secondary structure includes four short double-helical elements and three loops (D, anti-codon, and T loops).
Source: Rfam by way of RNAcentral